CCAGAUCGGCCAUGGUGGCAGGGAAACGCCCGUUCCCAUUCCGAACACGGAAGCUAAGCCUGCCAGCGCUCUUGGUAGGUUCCUGGAAACGGGGUGGGAGAGUAGGACGCCGCCAGGU
RNAcentral lists this ribosomal RNA (118 nucleotides) under Candidatus Omnitrophica bacterium 4484_49. Lineage: Bacteria; Pseudomonadati; Candidatus Omnitrophota. The record is from RNAcentral.